Molecule: long non-coding RNA, 887 nt
Organism: Neofelis nebulosa (Clouded leopard)
Lineage: Eukaryota; Metazoa; Chordata; Mammalia; Carnivora; Felidae
Exons: 2
Source: RefSeq, a predicted model, not a curated record
CAACUUCCAGAAGAGAGAGAUCACCAGUGAGCGGGUCCCAGGAGGCUCUACCCGGACACCUCCUCAGCCCCGCAGCCAAGAUGCUGAACCCUCAGAUGACACGACGGAGCGGGUGGUUAACACACGCCACGGCUCUUGCAGGGAACGCCACCCAAAUGAGCCACAGACUAGAGAAAAGUGGAGAUGCUCGGGGGCGCGGCAGCUCGGCUCCCGUGGCUGCCAGAACCUGGGCUCCAGCUGACGAAACCAGGGGAGCUGCCUGUUGUCAGGAAUCUAAGAGCACAGGGCACCGGGGGGGGCCUCUGGAUUUCAGCUCAGGUCGUGAUCUCCCGGUUCGCGGGAUGAAGCCCCGCGGUGGGCUCUGUGCUGACAGCGUGGAGCCUGCCUGGGAUUCUCUCUCUCAAACUUAAAAAGACACCCGAAGGAAGCCUACGCUCUCAACCCAAGAACGUCAGGCCACGCGAGGGCCGGGCUGAGCGUCUCUCUGAAGCCCCGAGACGGUGGUCUGGCGGAACAACGGGAAACUGAGGUGGGGGACCACAGGCAACUAGGGGUCACCUUGUGCCAACGCGGAACCAGAGUGAACCCACACCCGCGUUCCCUCCCGGCAGGCACAGGCAGGGAAGCCUGCCCUCCUACGUUCUGCUGGGUUCUAUUCGCCCCUCCCCCCAUUUCUCCCACAUGACAAGAACUGGGUCCCCGGUCACCGCGUCAGCCCCGGGAGCGCCCUGAGCAGACGCCGUGCCUACCAGCGCAGAGGUCAGGACUAGGGGGCACUCAGUCUGGCACGCGGUCAAGACCAGGUCUGCUGUCAGGGAGGGGUCUCCACUUUGUGAACAAGCAUUGAGGAGCCCCUGGAGGAGAGAACAUGCCAGAAGCUCAGCGGU